RNAcentral lists this ribosomal RNA (1463 nucleotides) under Mycobacterium kansasii. RNAcentral describes it as "bacterial SSU rRNA". It matches the Rfam family "Bacterial small subunit ribosomal RNA". The record is from RNAcentral. Lineage: Bacteria; Bacillati; Actinomycetota; Actinomycetes; Mycobacteriales; Mycobacteriaceae.
GACGAACGCUGGCGGCGUGCUUAACACAUGCAAGUCGAACGGAAAGGUCUCUUCGGAGACACUCGAGUGGCGAACGGGUGAGUAACACGUGGGCAAUCUGCCCUGCACACCGGGAUAAGCCUGGGAAACUGGGUCUAAUACCGGAUAGGACCACUUGGCGCAUGCCUUGUGGUGGAAAGCUUUUGCGGUGUGGGAUGGGCCCGCGGCCUAUCAGCUUGUUGGUGGGGUGACGGCCUACCAAGGCGACGACGGGUAGCCGGCCUGAGAGGGUGUCCGGCCACACUGGGACUGAGAUACGGCCCAGACUCCUACGGGAGGCAGCAGUGGGGAAUAUUGCACAAUGGGCGCAAGCCUGAUGCAGCGACGCCGCGUGGGGGAUGACGGCCUUCGGGUUGUAAACCUCUUUCACCAUCGACGAAGGUCCGGGUUCUCUCGGAUUGACGGUAGGUGGAGAAGAAGCACCGGCCAACUACGUGCCAGCAGCCGCGGUAAUACGUAGGGUGCGAGCGUUGUCCGGAAUUACUGGGCGUAAAGAGCUCGUAGGUGGUUUGUCGCGUUGUUCGUGAAAUCUCACGGCUUAACUGUGAGCGUGCGGGCGAUACGGGCAGACUAGAGUACUGCAGGGGAGACUGGAAUUCCUGGUGUAGCGGUGGAAUGCGCAGAUAUCAGGAGGAACACCGGUGGCGAAGGCGGGUCUCUGGGCAGUAACUGACGCUGAGGAGCGAAAGCGUGGGGAGCGAACAGGAUUAGAUACCCUGGUAGUCCACGCCGUAAACGGUGGGUACUAGGUGUGGGUUUCCUUCCUUGGGAUCCGUGCCGUAGCUAACGCAUUAAGUACCCCGCCUGGGGAGUACGGCCGCAAGGCUAAAACUCAAAGGAAUUGACGGGGGCCCGCACAAGCGGCGGAGCAUGUGGAUUAAUUCGAUGCAACGCGAAGAACCUUACCUGGGUUUGACAUGCACAGGACGCGUCUAGAGAUAGGCGUUCCCUUGUGGCCUGUGUGCAGGUGGUGCAUGGCUGUCGUCAGCUCGUGUCGUGAGAUGUUGGGUUAAGUCCCGCAACGAGCGCAACCCUUGUCUCAUGUUGCCAGCGGGUAAUGCCGGGGACUCGUGAGAGACUGCCGGGGUCAACUCGGAGGAAGGUGGGGAUGACGUCAAGUCAUCAUGCCCCUUAUGUCCAGGGCUUCACACAUGCUACAAUGGCCGGUACAAAGGGCUGCGAUGCCGCGAGGUUAAGCGAAUCCUUUUAAAGCCGGUCUCAGUUCGGAUCGGGGUCUGCAACUCGACCCCGUGAAGUCGGAGUCGCUAGUAAUCGCAGAUCAGCAACGCUGCGGUGAAUACGUUCCCGGGCCUUGUACACACCGCCCGUCACGUCAUGAAAGUCGGUAACACCCGAAGCCAGUGGCCUAACCCUCGGGAGGGAGCUGUCGAAGGUGGGAUCGGCGAUUGGGACGAAGUCGUAAC